RNAcentral lists this ribosomal RNA (502 nucleotides) under uncultured bacterium. Its description in RNAcentral is "bacterial SSU rRNA". It matches the Rfam family "Bacterial small subunit ribosomal RNA", at positions 23 to 518 of the family's 1533-position model. The record is from RNAcentral.
CUCAGGAUGAACGCUAGCGACAGGCUUAACACAUGCAAGUCGAGGGGCAGCAUAGAAGUAGCAAUACUUGGUGGCGACCGGCGCACGGGUGAGUAACGCGUAUGCAACCUACCUAUCAGAGGGGAAUAACCCGGCGAAAGUCGGACUAAUACCGCAUAAAACAGGGGCACCGCAUGGUGAUAUUUGUUAAAGAAAUUCGCUGAUAGAUGGGCAUGCGUUCCAUUAGGUAGUUGGUGAGGUAACGGCUCACCAAGCCGACGAUGGAUAGGGGAACUGAGAGGUUGGUCCCCCACACUGGUACUGGGACACGGACCAGACUCCUACGGGAGGCAGCAGUGAGGAAUAUUGGUCAAUGGGCGGGAGCCUGAACCAGCCAAGUCGCGUGAAGGAAGAAGGAUCUAUGGUUCGUAAACUUCUUUUGCAGGGGAAUAAAGUGCAGGACGUGUCCUGUUUUGUAUGUACCCUGAGAAUAAGGAUCGGCUAACUCCGUGCCAGCCGCCGC